AUCCUGGCUCAGAAUGAACGCUGGCGGCGUGUUUAAGACAUGCAAGUCGCACGGAGGAAUGUGAGUAGCAAUACAAGCAUUCUUCAGUGGCGCACGGGUGCGUAACACGUGAGUUACAUGCCCUGCAGAGGGGGAUAGCCCAGGGAAACUUGGAUUAAUACCCCAUGGUCUCGCAAGACCUCGCGCGAUUGGAGCGGCCGAUAUCAGAUUAGGUAGUUGGUGAGGUAAAGGCUCACCAAGCCAACGAUCUGUAGCUGGUCUGAGAGGACGACCAGCCACACUGGAACUGAGACACGGUCCAGACUCCUACGGGAGGCAGCAGUGGGGAAUUUUGGACAAUGGACGCAAGUCUGAUCCAGCCAUUCCGCGUGCAGGAUGAAGGCCCUCGGGUUGUAAACUGCUUUUGUACGGAACGAAAAGGUUUGUCUUAAUACGAUGAGCUCAUGACGGUACCGUAAGAAUAAGCACCGGCUAACUACGUG
RNAcentral lists this ribosomal RNA (482 nucleotides) under uncultured bacterium. RNAcentral's name for it is "bacterial SSU rRNA". It matches the Rfam family "Bacterial small subunit ribosomal RNA", at positions 16 to 507 of the family's 1533-position model. The record is from RNAcentral.